GCAGUCUACCGUGGGAUACUAGGAUAAGUAUAGAGUUACUUAUCUUGUGUCUUGUGGAUAUCAGCUACAACCGUGGGACAGCUCGCAACAAUAUAAAGGGCUUGUAGAUCAAGUGAUUAAGAGGAGCAAAGUGUUGCUUGCCAGUCAGUAAACUGGGUUCAUUCCCGAGCCCAUUUGCGAUCCAUGUAAUUGUCUCCGUUUUCAUAUCAUACAAAAGAAGACUUUCCACUCCCCG
Molecule: long non-coding RNA, 235 nt
Filed under: Prunus persica (peach)
Lineage: Eukaryota; Viridiplantae; Streptophyta; Magnoliopsida; Rosales; Rosaceae
Description: long non-coding RNA (PPER_LNC004052)
Source: RNAcentral